Molecule: long non-coding RNA, 10627 nt
Filed under: Marmota monax (woodchuck)
Lineage: Eukaryota; Metazoa; Chordata; Mammalia; Rodentia; Sciuridae
Source: RNAcentral
UAUCAACAGGGAACAUUUAGGUGGUGUUCAUGUUACACAUUAUUAGCAUUCGUGUCAGUCAAUGGAGAAGGAAUGGAUUAAAGCUGUCCAGCUGCAUUGGAGGGAUUCCACACCCUGGAGGGACAUCCAAAGAUGCAGAAGAGUGAGUAUGAUAAGACCCAUUUUUUAAAUUUUUUCCCUGUCAUCUGCUGAGCCCUUGGCAUUAUUGGCCUUGUUAGUCAGCUUUUCAUUACUCUGACAAAUACUGACAUAAAUCAAUUUAACAAGAGUAAAGGUUGAUUUUGGUUCAUCAUUUCAGAGGUUUCAGCCCAUGGUCGGUUGAUCUUUUGGAUUUUGCAGUACAUGGUGGCAGGAGUAAGUGGCAGAGGAAGCCUCUAACAUUGCCAAUCCAGGAAGCAAAAAAGAAAGAGGCUGGGGUCACAAUAUCCCCUUCAGUAGAAUGCUCCUAGAAGCCCCAAUUUUUUCAGUUAGUACUCCUUCAUAGUGCUACCACCAGGUCAUGAUGGCACCUCAGUAUGGUGACAAGACUGAAAUGGUGACAACACUUGGACCUUUGGGAGCACUUACCCAAACCACAGCAUUGUCACUGUCCAUAAUGGCACCCACAGACCACCAUUAGAAGACAGCACCUGCCAGAUCCUGCCAUUUUAAAAUAAUGACAACUCCCAAUUUGUUGUGCAUGGUUUUAUUUAGUUUUAUAUGUUAUACAAACAGUGAGAAAAACAUUGCAACACAUAGUGGAAUAUUCAUGAGAUGCUGAUGUUGAGGAGGGAGUGAACCCAGCAAAUGUGAGCCAAAGUCUGAGCUAAGACAUGUAUAUCACAUUUCUGCUUGUUAAUUUCAUUUAUGUGGUUUUUUCACAGUAAUACAAGUUUCUUUCCAUUUUUUCAGUGCAGUUCUUGUGUGAUAAGGAUGCAUUUGUGUUAUUUGUUGUGACCCAGGGUGGGGCUUCCCAAGCACAGACAGACCAGCAGUGCCAACCAAAGCAUGUCCUGGCACAUUCUCCUGGUGUGCGUGGCUGUGGUCCUCCCAGAGCCUGGACUGGUCCCCAGGGGGAUGUACAGCUGGGUGGGGGCCAGGAAGCAAAGAGGGACUCCGGCUGGUCUGAGUGGGCUGAUGAAUAGCUGACAGUAACCUGCACUUUGCUGUCCUACCCAACAGCUGACCUGGUGGGAAGGGCUCUGGCCCUGCCCCUCCAUCCUCCAGCCCUGCUUUCUGCCCUAGUGGGCUGCCCUUGUCUUAACUCAGUGGUGGCUUCUUGAAAACUAGGGCAUGUUUUCCAUCGUUCCUGACCGCAGGGAAGUUUGAGGGAUGCAGUGAGGAUUGGGGACCUCCACAGCAUCGUUGGGGGAAGAUUUCCUCUAGCUCCCUCUCACCUUCUGGGGUUGCAAACCCUCAGCUUCUUGGACACAAGUCACUAUGACUGGCAACAGUUAGAGAGAGAUGAAGGUUCUAUUCUUCAUUUCCCCAGAAGGUGCCUCUGGGUCCAGUUCUGCCCAUUUUGUGCCUUUCUAGAGAAGACUCUGUAAUCAGUAGUCAGCCUUCUGUAGGCUCAGCUUCUGCAUCCACAGACUCAACCACCCUCAGAUGGAAAUGUUUGAAAAAAUAUUCACUUCAUUACUGAAUACUUAAAGACUUUUUUCCUUGUCAUUUUUCCCUAAAAAAGACCUUGACAACCAUUUCAAAGCAUUUACAUCUUAAAGAAUCUCAGUUUGAUUUAAAGUAUCUGGAAGGAAGACUGUGGAGGUUACAUGCAAAUUCUACACAAUUUUUUAAGGGAGUAGAGCAUAUGGUGAUUUUGGUAUUCAAGGGGUUCUGUGACCUAUCCCACUUGGAUACUGAGAGGUAUGACUGGAGAUGACUAUUUGCUAAAACUUAGUGUCCUCUUGCUGCUCACUAUUGGGCAUUAAAGAGUUGGUAGCCAGGACCCCACCUGCUGUUGGCAGGGAUUGGAUGGUGUCCAGGAGGGAUCCACCUACAUCAGAAGUGAUGUGCAGCAGGGAGAAGCCAAGUUCAGCGUCCCUGUCCCCACUCCCUCUUACCCUCUGGCAGUCAUCCUCCUAAGUCACCAGCUCCCACAACUGGUGUGUCAUCUGGAAGAAUGUAUGUGAAGGAGCCCUAGCCUGCUGGAGGGUUCCAGAGAAGAUCCAGGUGUGGAUUUUGUUGUUGUUGUUCUAAUUAGUUGUAUAUGCCAGUAGAAUGCAUUUUGACACACUGUAUAUGAAUGCAGCACAACUUCUUAUUCCUCUGGCUGUACAUCAUGCAGGGUCACACCAGUAGUUGACUAUAUCCUACAUGUAUGUAGAGUAAUAAUGUCUGUCUCAUUCUACUGGAGGCGGCCUUUUAAUGGAGGGAACUGGGAUGAUCCACUAGGUAGUGAUGAGUGCAGAAUGGUGUUAGGGAGCACAGUGAGAUGGAAGGGUGGGGAGGAAAAAAGAGAAAUCCAACCUGCCAGCAUCUGAAGGCUCAGUCCAGAGGCAAAGACCUAUGGAUGUACAAGCAUGCAACACAUACCAACCUCACAGUCAGCGAUGGGCUGCAUAUAAGAUGGGGGUCCCCUGAGAGUAUACUGCCUGGUGACAUCAUAGCCUUCUUCCCCUGUACAAGUACACUCUAUAGUGAUCUCAGAGGACGAUAUCACCUACUGAUACAUUUCUCAUAAAGAGUCCCCAUUGUUAGGCCAUGCCUGACUAUGAAAUUAGAAAUAUAAGCACAUACAGAGAAAGACAUCCACAUGAUGUGAACGUUCCAUCUAACCGAGGCUUACCUUUUCUUUUUUAAUUAAUUUUUAAUUUGUUUUAAUUAGUUAUACAUGACAUUUAUGCACUUUGAUAUAUCAUACAUAGAUGGGAUAUAAUUUCUCAUUUUUCUGAGUAUAUAUUGCAGAAUCAUAUUAAUCAUGUAGUCACAUAUAUAAUACAGUAAUAAUGUCUGUUUCAUUCUACUGUCUUUCCUAUUCCUAUAUCCCCUCCACUCUCCUUUCUUCAUUUCCCUCUACCUAGUCUAAGGUAAUGAUGUUCUUCUCUAGUGCCCCCCACUUUAUUGUCAAUUAGCAUCCACAUGUUAGAAAAAACAUUUGGCCUUUGUAUUUUGAGGGAUUGUCUUAUUAUUGCCAUAAUUUCAGUCUUCUUUAAAGCAUGAUGGGGACAAUGUAUCUUCCGUUUCUUGAAAUGGGAGGCAAGGACACUAUAAGGCCAACCUGAAAGUUGGUAAGGUUGGCAGGAAACAUCAGGUAGAGUCCAGGAGUCUCUGAUUUGGUGGAGGGGUGAGAAGUGACGUGGCACAGUGCCCUGCAUCUGCCUCCAUCCCCACAGUGAUGCAGAGAGCAGAUGUCCGGCAACUAUCUGUUGAUUACAAAUCUGCAACACAUGGAUAGAAUGAUGAGUGGCUGCUGGGGCCAACCAGGACAAUGAGCGGGGACAGGAUUGAGGAAAAUAUUCUGGAACUAGACAAUGGUGAUGGUUAUACAACAUUGAACAUGCACUUAAUUGCAUUGAACUAAAUAUUUCAAAUGAGUAAACUACUAAAUUUUAUUUAAAAUUAAUCAUCAGCAAAUAAAAAAUAACCAAAACUAAUAGGAAAACAAGUGAAAUGGUAAGGGAGGUGAAGGGCUGCUCUGGGCAUAGCAGGUCCAAGGUGCAGCUCAGGAGCUGGCACUGGCUGUUGAGCCUCUAGUACCUGAGAUCUGGAGCUGGUGGUGAAGGAGUUUCUGGCAACGGCUCCUCUGGUUCUCAGGAUGGUGAUGGAGCUGGAGCUAGAGCUGCCACAAGUAUUGGAGGUCACUCUUAUGAGAGCAAAUUAAUAAUAUGUUUAUAAAAGAUACUUGUCACCCUUUUCUUUUUCAGUAGAGAAUUGUCACCCCGAAACACUAAAACAACCCAGUAGGAUCCAGAGCAGAAGCCAGAGGAGGAACACACAAACUGUCCAACUACCUCUGAUGAGCACAGGAGAGCAGAGACUCAAAUUAAUCAAUGUAUGGGGAGAAAGUCAGAACUGAUGCUGGAGCCAUGUUGGGGGAUCAUAGUGUUCUAGAGGAGAGAUUCCAGUGUGGCAUGCAGCGUAUUAGGAAGAGGGAGCUAUGUGAGUAAAUGCUCUUUUCCACAGAGUUUGCAAUGGGGCAAAAGGCAGGAAGUUUCAGGGUACUCAGUGGAGGAACUGGUUUAUGUUGAAAAGUAGAGAUGAAAAAAAACCCAAUGUCUCUAUAGCUGAGAGAGAUCAGAGAAGCCUAGGAAAAAGAAAUGUUUCUCAAAGUCAUGUUCCAGUUCUUCUUUGGUUCCAAGAGAAAGACUUCAAUGUGAAUUGGAUCCCUUUCAAUAUCCUAUGUAGAAACCUGAAAUUACAGAUAGAAUUGAACUCCAUGUACAAGCAGUGCAAACCACCACAGUUUACCUCAUGACCAGAUGGCUGUUUAGGAACUAAUGUGUGGGUCGACUACACGUCCUGCAUCAUAGGACAAAGGGAUGAUUCACGGCAUAGUCAUGAUAGAGAAUGAUGCUACCUAAUCUUAAUACCUGAUCAUUGUAUUAAGAAUUGUGAAAAAUUUAAAACUUACACAGUGGUUUUUUUUUCUGUAGUUUUAAAUUUACUGUUUUUGGACCACAUUUUAGUGAAACCACAGAAAUUGAAAUUUUUGAUAAGAGGGAACUACAAUAACAAACUGAAGUACACCAUAAGAUGAAUGUUGAUUUUGCUUUAUGGAAAACUAAGUUGGGCCUAUGAAAUAACAAAAUUCAAACACAUUUUGGCUUAAGGUGGAGCCAUCCUGUGAGGUAUGACAAGAAGACUUCCCAGGUCUAAGACCUAUUUGGUGAACAGAAUAAAGCACAGUGUGAACUGCUGGGAUUGGUCUUACCAGGUGACUACUGACCUUCAAUCCUCAACAUCUCACUUUCAGCGUUUGUUUGUUUUUAGAGAUGCAGGACAGUCAACUGUAUUUUGACAUACCAUACAUACUUGGGGUACAACCCAUUAUAAUUUUGAUCCCAUUCUUGUGGUUGAACAUGAUGUGGAGUUACACUGGUCGUGUAUUCGUAUAUUAGCAUGGGAAAGUAAUGUGUGCUUCAUUCUACUGCCUUUCCUUUCCCCAUCUCCCCUCUCUUCCCUUCAUUUCCCUUUGCCUAAUCCAGUGAACUUCUAUACUUCCUGUGCCUACUGUACCUGAUUAUGGGUUAGCAUCUACAUAACAGAGAGAAGCCUUGACCUUUAGAUUUUGGGGACUGGCUUACUUCACUUAGCAUGAUAUUCUCCAGUUCUAUCCAUUUACCAGCAGAUGCCAUAAUUUCAUACUUCUUUAUUGCUUAUUAAUAUUCCAUUGUGUAUAUAUACCGCAUAUUUAUUCAUUUAUCUGUUGAAUAGCACCUAGAUUGGCUCCAUAGUUUGGCUAUUGUGAACUGAUCUGCUAUAAACAUUGAUGUGACUGUGUCACUGUAGUAGUCUGAUUUUAAGUCCUUUGGGUAUAAGCCAAGAAGUGGAUAACUGGAUCAAAUGGUAGUUCCAUUUCAACUUUUCUAAGGAAUCUCCAUACUGCUUUCCAGAGUGGUUGCACCAAUUUGUAGUCCCUCCAGCAAUGUAUGAGUGUACUUGUUUUCCCACAUCCUUGCAAACAUUUGCUGUUACUUGUAUGGUUUUAGUUUAGUUUGCAUUUCUCUAAUUGCUAGAGAUGUUGAACAUUUUCUCAUAUUUUUUAUCUGAUCAUACUUCUUCUUUUGUGAAGUAUCUGUUUAGUUCCUUUGAUUAUUUCCUUUUUUUUUUUUUGAUACUGGGAAUUGAACUCAGGGGCACUCAACCACUGAGCCACAUCCCCAUACCUAUUUUAUAUUUUCUUUAAAGAUAGGGUCUCACUGAGUUGCUUAGCACCUUGCGGUUACUGAGGCUGGGCUUUGAACUUGUGAUCUUCCCAUCCCAGCCUCUCUAGCUGCUGGAUGCUUAUUUCUUCAUUGGGUUAUUUUUGUUGUUGUUGUUGUUGAGUUUGUUGAGUUCUUUAUGUAUCCUGGAGAAUAAUGCUGUAUUUGAGGUGCAGGUGCAAGUAAAGAGUUUUUCUGAUUUUGUAGGCUCUCUCUUCAUGUGCUUGAUUGUUUGCUUUGCUGUGAUGAAGGUUUUUAGUUUGAUUCCAUCCCAUUUAUUAAUUCUUGAUUUUACUCCUUGUGCUUUAGGAGUCUUGAUAAGGAACUCAGUUCCUAAGCUGACAUAGAUUUCAGUCUCCUUUUUUCUUCUAUUAGGUGUAGGGUCUCUGUUAUAAAGCCUAAGUCCUUGGCCCACUUUGAGUUGAGUUUUGUGCAGGGAGAGAGGAGUUUAAUUACAUCUUGCAUCAUAUGGAUUUCUAGUUUUCCCAACACCAUUUUUUGAAGAGGCUAUCUUUUCUCCAAUGUAUGUUUUUGGCACCUUUGUCUAGUAUGAGUAACUGUAUUCUGUGGGUUUGUCUCAGAAUGAGUGAAUCUAACUGUAUUUGGAAAAAGAUCCUUGCACAUGUAAUUAAGGAUCUCAAGAUGAGAUCAUGAUGAUCAUGCUGUAUUAUCUGAAUGGGCUCUAAAUCUAAUGUCAAGUGUCCCUUCAAGAAGAGGAGAGGACACAGAAUAAGGAGGAGGCUAUGUGAAGAUUGGAGGUGGAGUUUGGAGUGACACUGUCCUAAACCUGGGAAAACAUAGGGCCAUUAAAAAUUGAAAAAGAUCAGAAAGGAUUGUUGUUUAGAGACUAGAGGGAACAUGGCCCUGUGGCAUGUUGAGAUUUCUCACCUCCAGAACCAUGAGAAAAUAAAUUUCUCUGUUUUAAGCCACAAAAUUUCAGGUAAUUUUGCUACAGAGUUACAAAUACACAUAGUUAUAGAUUUUUGAAUAUGUUCUGUACCUACCUGGUAUGGAGUUCUUCACAGUGAUCUUUUGAAGGGUUAUUAUUAUUAUUAUUAUUAUUAUUAUUAUUAUUUUGAUGGGACUUGAGUAGAAAGGGUGAUGGAGGUGAAGGUAUUCUUGCUCAUUCAUUUACUAAAUGUGACUGUGCUUACUCUCAUCCCAAAGAGAACAAGGUGGGUGGCUCUGGGAGAUGAGGAUAUCCCCACUAAUUGCAUUUCAACCCCCUCAAGAUGCAGACAGAGAAAGAAGGCCAGGAAGGAAAAUGGCAUUUUCAAAGUCAGCAGGCAGGAGACUAGGCCUGUCCUUAGCUCUAUUCUACGUUAAAAUUUCACCUGUUUCCAUAUUUUAUCUCUACUUUUGUGCAUUACAGACAUUUGACAACAUCGUUUCUAAGUGUUAUGUCAGAUAUGCCUGGUGACAGUGCUAGGAAGUAGACACUGUGCAGGGGGACACUGGGCAAGCCUUAGAGACAUGAUGACUUGUCCAAGGUCACAUGAGAGGACAGGAGGAGGAGCAGGGUUGAAACCUAGAUGUGUCUCCUCAGAGCUGGGACCCUGGCUACACCCAUGCCUGCCAAGGGAUGUGGGGCUAGUGUUGGGGUUGGCUGUGUAAACAUAUGGCAAUGGCAUGGGGCUGGAGGAGAGCCAACAGAGGGACAAACAUGGGCUUAUCUGGAGGAUGGGUUAGGCCAGGAACCCCAAGACAUGGGCCCCCUUCCUUGGUCAUAGAGUCAAACAGAACUUGGAACCCAGUAACCAGGCACCCACAUUCUAGCAACAGCCUCCUCCCAGCUCAUUUGGUGAAAUACUUUGAAAGCCAAAACAUGUUGUCCUGCUUCCCCUGUGGAGGCCGACCCUUUAGGAGGCCACGUCGCCAGAGCUCCCCCUAUGGCUGCACGGCCCCUUCCCCAGACCCAAUCCACUGGACACCCAAAAGAAGAAACUUUUGGAAACAACUGCGAAGUUGCUUCAUGUGCUGCUGCCUGUGCCUCGCUGAUGGUCCUCCUCCAAUUGGCACACCUGAAAGUGGGAGGAGUAGCUUUAGGUCCACACCUGAUAGCCCUGGUGAGGUACAUCCAGGAGAGAACAUCACUGUGAGUAGCCCUGCAGAGUCCCACCACCUUGCUCCUCAGUAGGGGAGAACAGGGACCUGAGGCAGGAAAAGGUGGUGGGAGAUUGUGAGCCUCGUGUCCUAUCAUGGUCACCCCCAGGACAGGGAAAAAGGUGGGGAAUGAAAGUGUCCACGGUACGGCCUGGGCACCCAGUAUCAUUUCCUGUCUUACAGGGUAAAACCUGAGACACAGGGUCUGUAUUAGGUCGGGGGAGCAGAAGGCCACAAGAGACACAAACACCCUGAAUGGAGGCGAGCAGGGGCUGGGGCUCCCGGCCAGCUACCAGGCACUGUCUUCCAUUCUUUCCACAGUUUAUCCUCAAUAAGCACUGGAGCUGCAGCUUCAGCUCCAACCCCACGUCCACUGAGGAAUAUCCAGAGCCAAGCACCAAUGGGCAGGAGCUGGGCCUCAGGAUAAGUGCGGGACAGGGGGGACUCUACUGGCAGGGCACAGAGCAGAAUAAAAGUGAAUAAGAGCACAGACACCACCAGGACCACCUUCCUGAUAGGGAUGGGAGGUGGAGGGGCAGAGUCCCCACCGUGAGGAAUCUGAACAACAAAUCCUCACCCAUCCUCCUCACCCUCUCUGCCUGCCUCGUUCUUGGACUCAUCCAAGGUCACAAUUCCCAUAUUUGUGACAACAACAGAACAGCAACAGGGACAUUAUUUCAUUUUAAUUCUCUGAUGAUUUGUACUCUGCCACCCAACUGACUAUAACUCCUACACCCAGGUGUCCAGGUGACAAUGGCCUGACGGUCCUUCCACACUCUCUCCAAGUCUUACACAGCAUCAGGAUUACUAGGGCUGCGUUUAGCUGAAACAUCACAAGGCUCCUGCCAAUUGGUCCAUUUCUCUGGUACUUGCUGUCUCAAGGAACACAGACUGGGAAAGUAGAAGCUGAGCCCCCAGGACCUCACCACCUUCCAGGGGGACCCAGGUUCCACAGCCAUUCAGCCUUUCAGGGCUGUGGGACCUGGACCUCAUUCUGUCCUGGAGCCAUGUCAACAGCACCACAGAGAAUGAUGUCCUGGGUGUCCUUACACAGGGACCCUCCCGUCUGGGAUGAGCCCGUUUUCCCAUCUCCAGAAGGUGGUGUGCUGGUGGGACUCAGGGGAUAAGCUCCGAAUGCACAGAGCUGCCACCUCUGCUCAGAUAACACACUGGGGUGAAGCUGCUGUGUUUCUAACUAUCCCCUCAGCAAUUCCACUGUGAACUCUGCCAGCCAUUGCCCUGCUGGAGCUCUCCUGUCCCUCUGUGGGACAAGCCCCUAUGUGCUUUUGCUAUUGCACUGGACUCCACCCCCAGACACUUCUGGUGGGUCAGUUUGGCACUGACUCUGUUUCUUCAAUGUCCCAACCAAGAAGGUGGCUACAGAGGGGAUGACACCAGCAUUGGAUAUGUGUUCCAGGCGUACUCCCUGGGGGACCUGGAGGAGACCCUGGAGCCUGCCUUCUUCUAUGACUGUUUCUCUUCGGCCUCAAACAUCUCGAGUUCCUCCACCCAACAAGAGAUGGGCCAAAUGUUGGGAAGGUAAGCCCUGCCCAGGGUGACAGGGUCACAUACAGCUGUGAGUCCUGAUACUGGCCCUGUGACUCUCUGAGCUUCAGCCCUCUCCUCUGAACUGUGGGGUGCCAAGAUCACUGACCUCAUGGUAGGAAAGGCCAGGCCUCUCAUAGUGCUGCCCCCCCCAUCCCUCUUGGGUGGUCUCCUCACUCCCUCACUUGCAUUUGCCUCACUACCCACUUGGUAAUGUCCACAGCCAGGUCACUGUCACAGGCCCCGAGGAGGAGGACCAAGGACACCAGGUCCCAGCCUUGACAGAAAACCCUGAGCCCAUGGAGGAACAGGCCAAAGGUGAGGAGAACUGAGGUGGGGUAUGAGUAUGUCAGAAUGGGACAGGGAGGGACAAGCAGAGCUUACUGCACAGGAACUGGGGCGGGGCAGGAACAAUGAGAGGCAGAGCUGUCAUUGUCUUCAUACAUUCUGGGAACCCUGCCUGGUGCUGGGUUUGUGCGUGGAAUUGUAUGAAAGGCAGUAGGGAAUAUUCUGUCCCUGGACCUAACGUGGAUAGUCUGUNAGGCUGAAGGUGAGGAGGACUGAGGUGGGGUAUGAGUAUGUCACAAUGGGACAGGGAGGGACAAGCAGAGCAUACUGCACAGGAACUGGGGCGGGGCAGGAACAAUGAGAGGCAGAGCUGUCAUUGUCUUCAUACAUUCUGGGAACCCUGCCUGGUGCUGGGUUUGUGCGUGGAAUUGUAUGAAAGGCAGUAGGGAAUAUUCUGUCCCUGGACCUAACAUGGAUAGUCUGUGGACCUUUACUCCUCUAGCAGCUCUGGUGCUUGUGGAAGCUCCCGUUCGAGGUCCAACAUCUCCACCAUCUGAUAGAGAACUGGAGCUGGACGCACUUGCCUUGGACCAUCAAGGCCAACGUAUCCUGCUGGCCCUUCAGUCAGCACUGCAUCUAGAGAGGAACCCAGAGCCUCUGGUCUUGUCCCAGGCCAUUUGUUUAUUCAUUUUUAUUGUAUGUGUUUAUUAUUUUAUUUAAAAGUAAAGAUUUGUUUUCAUUGUUAAAAGUCUCAGUCAUUUGCCAUCAAGUGCCUUCUCUAUACUGUACAUUAGUCAGCACAAUGUAGUUCCAGAAUGUCUUCUGGAAUUCAGUAUCCAUGACCACUG